RNAcentral lists this ribosomal RNA (387 nucleotides) under uncultured bacterium. RNAcentral describes it as "bacterial SSU rRNA". It matches the Rfam family "Bacterial small subunit ribosomal RNA", at positions 335 to 710 of the family's 1533-position model. The record is from RNAcentral.
ACUCCUACGGGAGGCAGCAGUGGGGAAUAUUGGACAAUGGGCGAAAGCCUGAUCCAGCCAUGCCGCGUGUGUGAAGAAGGUCUUCGGAUUGUAAAGCACUUUAAGUUGGGAGGAAGGGCAGUAAGUUAAUACCUUGCUGUUUUGACGUUACCGACAGAAUAAACACCGGCUAACUCUGUGCCAGCAGCCGCGGGUAAUACAGAGGGGUGCAAGCGUUAAUCGGAAUUACUGGGGCGUAAAGCGCGCGUAGGUGGUUUGUUAAGUUGGAUGUGAAGGCCCCGGGGCUCAACCUGGGGAACUGCAUCAAACUGGCAAGCUAGAGUACGGUAGAGGGUGGUGGAAUUUCCGUGUGUAGCGGUGGAAUGCGUAGAUAUAUGGAAGAACACC